GUGCUCGCUUCGGCAGCACAUAUACUAAAAUUGGAACAAUACAGCAAAGAUUAGCAUGGCCCCUGUGCAAGGAUGACAUGCAAAUUCAUGAAGCGUUCCAUAUUUUU
RNAcentral lists this small nuclear RNA (107 nucleotides) under Ovis aries (sheep). The record is from RNAcentral. Lineage: Eukaryota; Metazoa; Chordata; Mammalia; Artiodactyla; Bovidae.